RNAcentral lists this transfer RNA (72 nucleotides) under Capra hircus (goat). It matches the Rfam family "tRNA". From Rfam's summary of the family: Transfer RNA (tRNA) molecules are approximately 80 nucleotides in length. RNAcentral also lists the same sequence under 1 other name. Lineage: Eukaryota; Metazoa; Chordata; Mammalia; Artiodactyla; Bovidae. The record is from Rfam by way of RNAcentral.
UCCCUGGCAGUCCAGUGGUUAGGACUCGGCGCUUACACUGCCACGACCCAGGUUCAGUUUCUGGCUGGGGAA